RNAcentral lists this ribosomal RNA (242 nucleotides) under uncultured bacterium. RNAcentral describes it as "partial 16S ribosomal RNA". It matches the Rfam family "Bacterial small subunit ribosomal RNA", at positions 114 to 353 of the family's 1533-position model. The record is from RNAcentral.
AACGUGGGUAACCUGCCUUAUAGUGGGGGAUAGCCUUUCGAAAGGAAGAUUAAUACCGCAUAAGAUUGUAGUAUCGCAUGAUAUAGCAAUUAAAGGAGCAAUCCGCUAUAAGAUGGACCCGCGUCGCAUUAGCUAGUUGGUGAGGUAAUGGCUCACCAAGGCGACGAUGCGUAGCCGACCUGAGAGGGUGAUCGGCCACAUUGGACUGAGACACGGCCCAGACUCCUACGGGAGGCAGCAUG